UCUAAUGUGGCAGAUUAGUGCAAUGGAUUUAAGCCCCAUACAUAAAUUUUUAUUUCUUUAGAA
RNAcentral lists this transfer RNA (63 nucleotides) under Hydrophilidae sp. BMNH 1274343. RNAcentral describes it as "tRNA-Leu". The record is from RNAcentral. Lineage: Eukaryota; Metazoa; Arthropoda; Insecta; Coleoptera; Hydrophilidae.